RNAcentral lists this ribosomal RNA (399 nucleotides) under uncultured bacterium. RNAcentral describes it as "bacterial SSU rRNA". It matches the Rfam family "Bacterial small subunit ribosomal RNA", at positions 356 to 774 of the family's 1533-position model. The record is from RNAcentral.
UAGGAAUCUUCCACAAUGGGCGAAAGCCUGAUGGAGCGACGCCGCGUGAGGGAUGAAGGCCUUAGGGUUGUAAACCUCUAAAAGAGGGACGAUAAUGACGGUACCUCUUGAAUAGCACCGGCUAACUCCGUGCCAGCAGCCGCGGUAAUACGGAGGGUGCAAGCGUUAUCCGGAAUCACUAGGCGUAAAGGGCGCGUAGGCGGUCUGUUAAGUCCGAUGUUAAAUCCCGGGGCUCAACCCCGGAUAAGCGUUGGAUACUGGCAGGCUAGACGGUUGGAGAGGCGAGUGGAAUUACCAGUGUAGCGGUGGAAUGCGUAGAUACUGGUAGGAACACCCAUUGCGAAGGCAGCUCGCUGGACAACACGUGACGCUGAGGCGCGAAAGUGUGGGGAGCAAACC